CGCAGUGUAGCUUAAUGCAAAGCCCCAAGCUCAUACCUUGGCUGAUGCGGGUGCAAAUCCCGCCGCUGCUA
This is a non-coding RNA of Hassallia byssoidea VB512170, 71 nucleotides long. The record is from Rfam. Lineage: Bacteria; Bacillati; Cyanobacteriota; Cyanophyceae; Nostocales; Tolypothrichaceae.